Molecule: ribosomal RNA, 2453 nt
Filed under: Escherichia coli
Lineage: Bacteria; Pseudomonadati; Pseudomonadota; Gammaproteobacteria; Enterobacterales; Enterobacteriaceae
Description: partial 23S ribosomal RNA
Rfam family: Bacterial large subunit ribosomal RNA
Source: RNAcentral
GGGACACGUGGUAUCCUGUCUGAAUAUGGGGGGACCAUCCUCCAAGGCUAAAUACUCCUGACUGACCGAUAGUGAACCAGUACCGUGAGGGAAAGGCGAAAAGAACCCCGGCGAGGGGAGUGAAAAAGAACCUGAAACCGUGUACGUACAAGCAGUGGGAGCCUCUUAAUGGGGUGACUGCGUACCUUUUGUAUAAUGGGUCAGCGACUUAUAUUCUGUAGCAAGGUUAACCGAAUAGGGGAGCCGAAGGGAAACCGAGUCUUAACUGGGCGUUAAGUUGCAGGGUAUAGACCCGAAACCCGGUGAUCUAGCCAUGGGCAGGUUGAAGGUUGGGUAACACUAACUGGAGGACCGAACCGACUAAUGUUGAAAAAUUAGCGGAUGACUUGUGGCUGGGGGUGAAAGGCCAAUCAAACCGGGAGAUAGCUGGUUCUCCCCGAAAGCUAUUUAGGUAGCGCCUCGUGAAUUCAUCUCCGGGGGUAGAGCACUGUUUCGGCAAGGGGGUCAUCCCGACUUACCAACCCGAUGCAAACUGCGAAUACCGGAGAAUGUUAUCACGGGAGACACACGGCGGGUGCUAACGUCCGUCGUGAAGAGGGAAACAACCCAGACCGCCAGCUAAGGUCCCAAAGUCAUGGUUAAGUGGGAAACGAUGUGGGAAGGCCCAGACAGCCAGGAUGUUGGCUUAGAAGCAGCCAUCAUUUAAAGAAAGCGUAAUAGCUCACUGGUCGAGUCGGCCUGCGCGGAAGAUGUAACGGGGCUAAACCAUGCACCGAAGCUGCGGCAGCGACACUAUGUGUUGUUGGGUAGGGGAGCGUUCUGUAAGCCUGUGAAGGUGUACUGUGAGGUAUGCUGGAGGUAUCAGAAGUGCGAAUGCUGACAUAAGUAACGAUAAAGCGGGUGAAAAGCCCGCUCGCCGGAAGACCAAGGGUUCCUGUCCAACGUUAAUCGGGGCAGGGUGAGUCGACCCCUAAGGCGAGGCCGAAAGGCGUAGUCGAUGGGAAACAGGUUAAUAUUCCUGUACUUGGUGUUACUGCGAAGGGGGGACGGAGAAGGCUAUGUUGGCCGGGCGACGGUUGUCCCGGUUUAAGCGUGUAGGCUGGUUUUCCAGGCAAAUCCGGAAAAUCAAGGCUGAGGCGUGAUGACGAGGCACUACGGUGCUGAAGCGACAAAUGCCCUGCUUCCAGGAAAAGCCUCUAAGCAUCAGGUAACAUCAAAUCGUACCCCAAACCGACACAGGUGGUCAGGUAGAGAAUACCAAGGCGCUUGAGAGAACUCGGGUGAAGGAACUAGGCAAAAUGGUGCCGUAACUUCGGGAGAAGGCACGCUGAUAUGUAGGUGAAGCGACUUGCUCGUGGAGCUGAAAUCAGUCGAAGAUACCAGCUGGCUGCAACUGUUUAUUAAAAACACAGCACUGUGCAAACACGAAAGUGGACGUAUACGGUGUGACGCCUGCCCGGUGCCGGAAGGUUAAUUGAUGGGGUUAGCGGUAACGCGAAGCUCUUGAUCGAAGCCCCGGUAAACGGCGGCCGUAACUAUAACGGUCCUAAGGUAGCGAAAUUCCUUGUCGGGUAAGUUCCGACCUGCACGAAUGGCGUAAUGAUGGCCAGGCUGUCUCCACCCGAGACUCAGUGAAAUUGAACUCGCUGUGAAGAUGCAGUGUACCCGCGGCAAGACGGAAAGACCCCGUGAACCUUUACUAUAGCUUGACACUGAACAUUGAGCCUUGAUGUGUAGGAUAGGUGGGAGGCUUUGAAGUGUGGACGCCAGUCUGCAUGGAGCCGACCUUGAAAUACCACCCUUUAAUGUUUGAUGUUCUAACGUGGGCCCCUUACCGGGGUUGCGGACAGUGUCUGGUGGGUAGUUUGACUGGGGCGGUCUCCUCCUAAAGAGUAACGGAGGAGCACGAAGGUUGGCUAAUCCUGGUCGGACAUCAGGAGGUUAGUGCAAUGGCAUAAGCCAGCUUGACUGCGAGCGUGACGGCGCGAGCAGGUGCGAAAGCAGGUCAUAGUGAUCCGGUGGUUCUGAAUGGAAGGGCCAUCGCUCAACGGAUAAAAGGUACUCCGGGGAUAACAGGCUGAUACCGCCCAAGAGUUCAUAUCGACGGCGGUGUUUGGCACCUCGAUGUCGGCUCAUCACAUCCUGGGGCUGAAGUAGGUCCCAAGGGUAUGGCUGUUCGCCAUUUAAAGUGGUACGCGAGCUGGGUUUAGAACGUCGUGAGACAGUUCGGUCCCUAUCUGCCGUGGGCGCUGGAGAACUGAGGGGGGCUGCUCCUAGUACGAGAGGACCGGAGUGGACGCAUCACUGGUGUUCGGGUUGUCAUGCCAAUGGCACUGCCCGGUAGCUAAAUGCGGAAGAGAUAAGUGCUGAAAGCAUCUAAGCACGAAACUUGCCCCGAGAUGAGUUCUCCCUGACUCCUUGAGAGUCCUGAAGGAACGUUGAAGACGACGACG